Lolium perenne is the source of this 1065-nucleotide long non-coding RNA. RefSeq lists it as uncharacterized. The record is from RefSeq and is a predicted model, not a curated record. NCBI's taxonomy places the organism in Eukaryota, Viridiplantae, Streptophyta, Magnoliopsida, Poales, Poaceae.
AGAAUAGGUCUUGAAGCUAGCAUGUGUGAGUGGUGUUGUGGCUCGGUGCGCUCUGCAUCCUGGCCGAGUCUGCAUAGAGAGAUUCUAGGAAAGGAUUAGAUCAUGGAGUUAGUGGACCAAGUAGUGGUAUGAGUGGACAUGGCAUGCGUGCCAAGACUUGUAUAUAUAUUCUGCAUUGAGUUAAUGAGAAAAUGGGCUGUGAGGGCUGAACAAAAACAAUGUAGCCAUUCUGAUCACCAAGGAAGUUUCAUGGCAAAGCUGCGUCUUCUUCCUUGGCUGAGUGUGUGCGUUGAGUUUCUCAGAGUGUGUGUCCGUGAGAGUGUGUUGAGAGGUAGAAGAAGAGAGAGGGGCUGCAAGGUGCAGCCCCAACAGAAACCCCUGAUUCGAUCUCCACCUCUUGCGAUCAACCAUGGCGCCGCUCUACCACCCAGAACCGUUCCUGCACAGUGCCGUGACCAGGAGCUUCAUCAACAGGGCUCUACAGGGCAGCACGCUUCGCCGGCUCACGCCCCAACCGCUUCAUAUUUCUGUCCUCCUAAUUAAGUGAUGUGCCUGUCUAGGCGCACUCGAAGAGGGUAGUGUCACGCACUCGGCAGUGUCGCAGUGAUCAGCCUUGGCAUGGCCGAUGACGAUGUGUAGACGGACGGCUUCAAGGAGUUAUAGCAAGGAGUUAUAGGAGGCGUGGCAUGGCAGAGUCGAAAUAAUCGCCGUCCUCAAAGCUUACUGCCUCUGAGUGGAAAUGUCGGUGUUCUCUUCUUUGCUACAGAUACUCACAAGUAUACUACUUGCAACCGUUCUUGCUCAUAUCUUUCUUUAGUUGUCCAUGUCCUCCACAAAGCAUCUUAUUCCCAUUCACACAUCUUUCUGAAAUGGUUUAAUUUUUUUUGCAGCUAUAAACAUCAUUACAGUAAAUUCGUUCAAACUAUUGUAAACAGUAAAUCGUCACUCGGAAGAAAUAUUUAAACAGUUGAGCUGCUUAUAUUCCCUUCCAACAUCCUAUCAAAGAACUCUUUGUCUUGGAAUUAUUAUCCAACUGAUUGAAUUGAUAUUUAUGUUUUGUUAUAA